AGAGUUUGAUCCUGGCUCAGAAUCAACGCUGGCGGCGCGCCUAACACAUGCAAGUCGAACGAGAAAGUGGAGCAAUCCAUGAGUAAAGUGGCGUACGGGUGAGUAACACGUGGAUCAUCUACCUUCUAGUGGGGAAUACCGUUGGGAAACCGACGACAAUACCGCAUAAGCUCGAGAGAGGAAAGCCGCAAGGCGCUGGAAGAGGAGUCCGCGGCUGAUUAGCUAGUUGGUGAGGUAAUGGCUCACCAAGGCUUAGAUCAGUAGCCGGCCUGAGAGGGCACACGGCCACACUGGCACUGAAACACGGGCCAGACUCCUACGGGAGGCAGCAGUGGGGAAUCUUGCACAAUGGGGGAAACCCUGAUGCAGCGACGCCGCGUGAGCGAUGAAGCCCUUCGGGGUGUAAAGCUCUUUCGGCAGGGAAGAUUAUGACGGUACCUGCAGAAGCAGCUGCGGCUAACUACGUGCCAGCAGCCGCGGUAAUACGUAGGCAGCAAGCGUUGUUCGGAGUUACUGGGCGUAAAGGGUGUGUAGGCGGUUGGAUAAGAGUGGUGUGAAAUCUCCCGGCUUAACUGGGAGGGUGCGCUACAGACUGUCUGACUAGAGUAUGGGAUGGGAGAGUGGAAUUCCUGGUGUAGCGGUGAAAUGCGUAGAUAUCAGGAGGAACACCGGUGGUGUAGACGGCUCUCUGGACCAUUACUGACGCUGAGACACGAAAGCGUGGGUAGCAAACAGGAUUAGAUACCCUAGUAGUCC
Molecule: ribosomal RNA, 756 nt
Filed under: uncultured bacterium
Lineage: Bacteria
Description: bacterial SSU rRNA
Rfam family: Bacterial small subunit ribosomal RNA
Source: RNAcentral